Long non-coding RNA from Cyprinodon variegatus (sheepshead minnow), 365 nucleotides. RefSeq lists it as uncharacterized. The transcript has 3 exons. NCBI's taxonomy places the organism in Eukaryota, Metazoa, Chordata, Actinopteri, Cyprinodontiformes, Cyprinodontidae. The record is from RefSeq and is a predicted model, not a curated record.
AAAAUGGACUCUGACCAAUCAAUUUUUCCUACAUGAAGGUUGAGUGUUCAGUAAUCUAGAUAGAGAACCUAGGAAUGUCUCCAUGGGUAUGUUUAUUGUUAAUAAAACUAUCUAAUUGCGUCUUGCUUUGCUCAGGCUCGCAGGAACCGCGAGAUUGCAAUCCUGCAGAGGAAGAUUGAUGAGGUGCCUAGCCGGGCUGAGCUGACACAGUACCAAAAAAGAUUUAUUGAACUCUACAGCCAAGUUUCUGCUACACACAAGGAGACCAAGCAGUUCUUCACACUGUAUAACACCUUAGAUGAUAAAAAGGUCUAUCUUGAGAAGGAGGUUAAUCUGCUGAAUUCAAUCCAUGACAACUUUCAACA